This 600-nucleotide ribosomal RNA is filed under the name uncultured bacterium. RNAcentral's name for it is "bacterial SSU rRNA". It matches the Rfam family "Bacterial small subunit ribosomal RNA", at positions 89 to 669 of the family's 1533-position model. The record is from RNAcentral.
GAGUAAGCGGCGGACGGGUGCGUAACACGUGGAUAAUCUGCCUUCUGGCGGGGAAUAACAGUCCGAAAGGAUUGCUAAUGCCGCAUGUGUCUGUGUGGUUUCCGAACUGCACAGAGAAAGAGGGCGCCCGCAAGGGGCUCUCACCAGAAGAUGAGUCCGCGUCCCAUCAGCUAGUUGGCGGGGUAAUGGCCCACCAAGGGCAGAGACGGGUAGCUGGUCUGAGAGGAUGACCAGCACACUGGGACUGAGACACGGCCAGACUCCUACGGGAGGCAGCAGUGGGGAAUAUUGGGCAAUGGGCGCAAGCCUGACCCAGCCAUGCCGCGUGAGUGAUGAAGGUCUUCGGAUCGUAAAGCUCUGUGGGAAGGGACGAAAAACCGGGGGUUAAUAACCCCCGGCUUGACGGUACCUUCUUAGCAAGCACCGGCUAACUCCGUGCCAGCAGCCGCGGUAAUACGGAUGGUGCAAGCGUUAAUCGGAAUUACUGGGCGUAAAGCGCACGCAGGCGGUCUGUCAAGUCGGAUGUGAAAUCCCCGGGCUCAACCUGGGAACUGCAUUCGAAACUGGCAGGCUAGAGUCUUGUACAGGGGGGUAGAAUUC